Molecule: long non-coding RNA, 435 nt
Filed under: Setaria viridis
Lineage: Eukaryota; Viridiplantae; Streptophyta; Magnoliopsida; Poales; Poaceae
Description: long non-coding RNA (SVIR_LNC011049)
Source: RNAcentral
CUUGAUCACAUUCUAAUACUAGCAUAUUGUUUAGUUUGCAGCUAUGUGAUUGAACCCAUCAUGCACAUCUUAAUUCUGUUUCUACAGAACCACGAUGCUCGUUUGAUUAACUGUUGCACAAAGAAUUCAGAUGAAACCAAUUUACAAGCUUCUGAGACUAUUUCAGAAAUAGUGGGGAGGCGGUUCGUGUCAGGUGUCAUCUUUCAUCCACCGUCAGUAGGAUAGCAUACGAAAUUGAGACAAUUCCCUAUCUCACCCUAGAAAAAUUACUGGUUCUUUCUCUAAUCCUCAGAAAAUUUUUAGUUCCCUAUUUGACAUCCAGUUCAACUUUCAUUUCUUAUACGACACAUUUUCCAUCCGGGAACCGUUAAAUGCCCUGCGAAAAGAUGAUUUUGCCCCUAUAAGUCCCACCACUCUUCUCCCCCCUCCCCUUCU